GAUGAAGAACGCAGCGAAAUGCGAUAAGUAAUGUGAAUUGCAGAAUUCAGUGAAUCAUCGAAUCUUUGAACGCACAUUGCGCCCGCCAGUAUUCUGGCGGGCAUGCCUGUCUGAGCGUCAUUUCAACCCUCAUGCCCCUAGGGCGUGGUGUUGGGGAUCGGCCAAAGCCCGCGAGGGACGGCCGGCCCCUAAAUCUAGUGGCGGACCCGUCGUGGCCUCCUCUGCGAAGUAGUGAUAUUCCGCAUCGGAGAGCGAUGAGCCCCUGCCGUUAAACCCCCAACUUUCCAAGGUUGACCUCAGAUCAGGUAGGAAUACCCGCUGAACUUAAGCAUAUCGAUAAGCGGAGGA
This 348-nucleotide unclassified non-coding RNA is filed under the name soil metagenome. RNAcentral describes it as "partial contains 5.8S ribosomal RNA, internal transcribed spacer 2, and large subunit ribosomal RNA". The stretch from base 1 to 120 matches the Rfam family "5.8S ribosomal RNA", at positions 35 to 154 of the family's 154-position model. The record is from RNAcentral.